Molecule: ribosomal RNA, 225 nt
Filed under: uncultured bacterium
Lineage: Bacteria
Description: partial 16S ribosomal RNA
Rfam family: Bacterial small subunit ribosomal RNA
Source: RNAcentral
GAUCCUGGCUCAGGAUGAACGCUAGCUACAGGCUUAACACAUGCAAGUCGAGGGGCAGCAUGGUCUUAGCUUGCUAAGACUGAUGGCGACCGGCGCACGGGUGAGUAACACGUAUCCAACCUGCCGUCUACUCUUGGACAGCCUUCUGAAAGGAAGAUUAAUACAAGAUGGCAUCAUGAGUUCACAUGUUCACAUGAUUAAAGGUAUUCCGGUAGACGAUGGGGA